CCUACGGGAGGCAGCAGUGAGGAAUAUUGGUCAAUGGACGAGAGUCUGAACCAGCCAAGUAGCGUGAAGGAUGACUGCCCGAUGGGUUGUAAACUUCUUUUAUAGGGGAAUAAAAUGUGCCACGUGUGGGAUUUUGUAUGUACCAUAUGAAUAAGGAUCGGCUAACUCCGUGCCAGCCGCCGCGGUAAUACGGAGGAUCCGAGCGUUAUCCGGAUUUAUUGGGUUUAAAGGGAGCGUAGGUGGAUUGUUAAGUCAGUUGUGAAAGUUUGCGGCUCAACCGUAAAAUUGCCGUUGAAACGGGCAGUCUUGAGUACAGUAGAGGUGGGCGGAAUUCGUGGUGUCGCGGUGAAAUGCUUAGAUCUCAC
This 365-nucleotide ribosomal RNA is filed under the name uncultured bacterium. RNAcentral describes it as "partial 16S ribosomal RNA". It matches the Rfam family "Bacterial small subunit ribosomal RNA", at positions 338 to 700 of the family's 1533-position model. The record is from RNAcentral.